UACAGAGGUCCCAAGCGUUGUUCGGAUUCAUUGGGCGUAAAGGGUGCGUAGGCGGCGCCGUAAGUCGGGCGUGAAAUUUCGGAGCUUAACUCCGAAACUGCAUUCGAUACUGCGGUGCUCGAGGACUGGAGAGGAGACUGGAAUUCAUGGUGUAGCAGUGAAAUGCGUAGAGAUCAUGAGGAAGACCAGUGGCGAAGGCGGGUCUCUGGACAGUUCCUGACACUGAGGCACGAAGGCCAGGGGAGCAAACGGG
This 253-nucleotide ribosomal RNA is filed under the name uncultured bacterium. RNAcentral's name for it is "partial 16S ribosomal RNA". It matches the Rfam family "Bacterial small subunit ribosomal RNA", at positions 524 to 776 of the family's 1533-position model. The record is from RNAcentral.